RNAcentral lists this ribosomal RNA (582 nucleotides) under uncultured deep-sea bacterium. RNAcentral's name for it is "bacterial SSU rRNA". It matches the Rfam family "Bacterial small subunit ribosomal RNA", at positions 8 to 597 of the family's 1533-position model. The record is from RNAcentral.
AGAGUUUGAUCAUGGCUCAGGAUGAACGCUGGCGGCGUGCCUAAUGCAUGCAAGUCGAGCGACGCAUACCGGAGGGGUAACCCACUGGUAUGACGGAGCGGCGAACGGGUGAGUAACACGUGAGUAACCUGCCCCACAGACCGGGACAGCCCAGGGAAACCUGGAUUAAUACCGGAUACCCUCGGGGGAUCGCAUGAUCUUUCGAGGAAAUGCCUUUGUGCUGUGGGAUGGACUCGCGACUUAUCAGCUAGUUGGUGGGGUAACGGCCUACCAAGGCGUCGACGAGUAGCUGGUCUGAGAGGACGAUCAGCCACACUGGGACUGAGACACGGCCCAGACUCCUACGGGAGGCAGCAGCAGGGAAUCUUGCGCAAUGGGCGAAAGCCUGACGCAGCAACGCCGCGUGGGGGAUGAAGGCCUUCGGGUUGUAAACCCCUUUCAGGAGGGAAGAAAUUGACGGUACCUCCAAAAGAAGCACCAGCCAACUACGUGCCAGCAGCCGCGGUAAUACGUAGGGUGCGAGCGUUAUCCGGAAUCAUUGGGCGUAAAGAGCUCGUAGGCGGUUCAGCAAGUCGGCUGUGA